Molecule: transfer RNA, 89 nt
Filed under: Corynebacterium pseudotuberculosis
Lineage: Bacteria; Bacillati; Actinomycetota; Actinomycetes; Mycobacteriales; Corynebacteriaceae
Description: tRNA-Leu
Source: RNAcentral
UAAAUGUUUUACCCUUUGUGACCUGCCGAUUUGCCUAUCUAUUGAGUCGCUCAUAUAGUUAAGCGAGUCAACAGCCAAGCGGCUGGAAA